RNAcentral lists this ribosomal RNA (506 nucleotides) under uncultured Acremonium. RNAcentral describes it as "eukaryotic LSU rRNA". It matches the Rfam family "Eukaryotic large subunit ribosomal RNA", at positions 87 to 604 of the family's 3401-position model. The record is from RNAcentral. Lineage: Eukaryota; Fungi; Ascomycota.
CGGCGAGUGAAGCGGCAACAGCUCAAAUUUGAAAUCUGGCCUCACGGUCCGAGUUGUAAUUUGUAGAGGAUGCUUCUGGCGACGUGCCUUCCGAGUUCCCUGGAACGGGACGCCAUAGAGGGUGAGAGCCCCGUCCGGUCGUGCACCUAGCCUCUGUGAAGCUCCUUCGACGAGUCGAGUAGCUUGGGAAUGCUGCUCUAAAUGUGAGGUAUACGUCUUCUAAAGCUAAAUACCGGCCAGAGACCGAUAGCGCACAAGUAGAGUGAUCGAAAGAUGAAAAGCACUUUGAAAAGAGGGUUAAAUAGUACGUGAAAUUGCUGAAAGGGAAGCGCUUAUGACCAGACUUGGGCUCGGUGAAUCAUCCGGCGUUCUCGCCGGUGCACUUUGCCGUCCCAGGCCAGCAUCAGUUCGCGCCGGGGGAUAAAGGUUUCGGGAACGUAGCUCCCUCGGGAGUGUUAUAGCCCGUUGCGUAAUACCCUGGCGUGGACUGAGGUCCGCGCUCUGCA